RNAcentral lists this transfer RNA (68 nucleotides) under Marmota monax (woodchuck). RNAcentral's name for it is "tRNA.Ala". The record is from RNAcentral. Lineage: Eukaryota; Metazoa; Chordata; Mammalia; Rodentia; Sciuridae.
GUGGUGGCUCAGUGGUAGAGCACUUGCCUAGCAUGUGGAAGGCACUGGAUUCGAUCCUCAGCACCACG